Solanum pennellii is the source of this 5034-nucleotide long non-coding RNA. RefSeq lists it as uncharacterized. NCBI's taxonomy places the organism in Eukaryota, Viridiplantae, Streptophyta, Magnoliopsida, Solanales, Solanaceae. The record is from RefSeq and is a predicted model, not a curated record. The transcript has 3 exons.
AAUCCCACAUAAUGAUUUGAAUUGUGAUAAGUCUCAGGUCCAGACGUGCCCGCCGUCUGCUGCCGGACCACUCGUCGACGACUCUAUUCCGUCGCGCACCACAAUUCCCUGCCCGGUGACAAAGCGGAACUAUUAGCAGAAGUGAGAAUUCGACUAGCGCCGCCGUAAGGAGCAAUUUUUCUCUCAUCAAAAUUCUCUCGUUGCAAUUCAUCUGUAUUUAUAUGUAAAUGUAUCAUUUUUUAAUGAUGGCCUUUCCUUGUCCUUUUCGCUAGUAAGGAGGAUUCAAAUGCGUCUUACAAUUUUCCAUUUGAUUCUCCCUAAUAGAUAUUUCUCAAUGAAUUUACUAGCAAAUUUGUGAUUUGUAUCAUUUUGAUCAUAUAUACUGCUCAGUUAUAAUCAUACUCAACUAGUUAAUUUGGCUUUGAAGUUUUGGGAGUGUAGUGCACCGGACUGUCAUUUGGUCUCAUCAAUAACAAUAAUUCUGCAUCUUAUUUUCUUAUAUUGUCUUCUGGAUUGAUAUAAGUUGAGCCAUUUUCAUCGUGCAAGCGGGCUGUUAUGAAUGAGAAGGAUCUGAAUACGUUUAAAUGUGUCACCUCAUAUGGGAUCGUGAAUUCUUCGUGGAAGUAUUACUCAGGAGAAGAAGUUGCAGUUGCCAGCCUUUCCAACUUUAUUCAUUGGAGGAAACCAUGAUGCAUCCAAUUACAUUGGGGAGCUGUUUUCAGAUUGCAAGUGAAUAAUGGAAUUCCUAUGAUCAAGAGUUGGUGCGAUGACCCCCAUCGGACUCUGCACUUACUUCAGAACUUCCAUUUCUAGAGACGCUGGCUGAUGCUGAUGAUGUCUGUCCUAUCAUUGCUAAGAAAUUCAGUAACAAGGGACACGAGUCCCUUGUCUCUUCCUAGUAGUUCCUCUAACUGUCCCUCAUUUCUUACUUCAUGUUAGACAAUUUAUCCUUCAUUACUUGCUCAUUAUUAUCCCUCAUUGAGCCUUGUAUAAUUGUUUUUGCAUUAAGAGUUAGGUCCCAAGGUCGAUUUCCAAUUGAGUCAGCUUUUGCUGCUCAUUUUUUUCUCUAUACCCUUUUGACAACUUUCUUCAGUCUACUCAUUUGUCCCUACAGAUAGUUGCAAGAGGUUCUCAAUGCACAUAAUAUAUCUACUUGAGCAUAGUUUAUCGAGUACUGUCAAUUUGUGCGGUAGCAUAAGCUUUCAACUUUAUGUAAAAUUGGCACCAUAGAAAAUAUUAUAUGAAUUAGAAUAUUAAUGAAUCUAAUGAGCUACACUUGGCACAAUAGAAGAUAUUAUAUAAAUUAAUAUAUUACUGAAUCUAAUCAGUUACACUUAAACUAAAGUAAAAUGAGAAGUCUUAUAAUUUUAUUAAAGAGCUUCCAAAAAUCAUCUCUUGCGCAGAUUGAAACAAAUGUAGAAACUAUUUUGGGUUAUAUAUUAACAUAAAGGUUCAUUGAAGUUGAAGAUGAAAUAGCAUGCAAAGGACUGCAUUAGUACAUGUUAAUUUCUCCUACAGUAUGUAUCAGUAUCAGUUGGUAUAUAUAAUUUCGUUGAGGAAAACUGCUAAACUUAUCUAAAAGCAUAAAUAAAACUACUGCCCGUAUCGUCUGUUGGGCAUGGAUUCUACUAGUGCUAGAUUAAACACCUUCUUUUGCCAGGAAACUGUCUUGAGUUAUUCAUUAAAGAAAGAAGGUGAUUAGUUUAUGUUAAAAGCUGUUAUGGUUAUGAGGUUAUCGUUAUAACACAAGGAGAGUAAUAAGAAAUAACAUGGCUGAUUAUCAGCUAUAGCCUUGAGACAAUUGUUCAAUUAUUUACCGUGUUAAGUGCAAUUAAAACUUUAUUUCUGGAGUUCCUCAAUAAUGGCUUAGAUUUCCCUUUUGUGGUCCAAGGGACAUGCUGAAAACCUCAACAUGAAAAUACCACUUAAACUACAAUGGUCACAAUUUGUUCUAAUCUUUGAUUCCUAUUCUUUUCUUUUAGCUAAAUUGUAGUUCAAUCCCUUACAUUGUUGAUCUUUUCCGAGCUGAUGCAUUUGCAGACUCUUUAUUGUGGUGGAGAUAUUCCCACAGACAGUGCAGAUGAUAUUGAGGAACUGAAAGAGGUUGAUCUGCAGAAACUUAGAAUGAGUUAAUGUAAAUCUCAUCUUUCGGUAAUGCUUUUUGCAAUUUCUAUUUUUAAUUAACAUUCAUGAUUUGUUCCAAUGUAACAAAUUAAAAUUUAUAUGGAAAGUUGAUGCUAUAAAUGUGCUGUUAUUAUGACGGAUGAAGACUGCAGUUUUUAUGGGUUGGCUUUGCUUCAUAUGAGAUUAUUGACAUUCGAAUCUGUGUCUCCUUUCCCGUGAUUCUUGACCUUUGUUCCUCCAAAAAUGAUUCUUAACAAUUCUGACAUCAGGAAUUCAAUAGUAAAUUUUUUAACUUUUUUACGACUGUUUCAUUUUUAGUGGUUGAAGUUUGCAAAGGGUGGGCAGAAAGGUGAAAAUUUGAGGACAGUUGUUUGCACUGAGGCAUCAUUUGUCACUGAAAAUGUUUAUAGUAAAUUAGUCAGCAAAUGAAAAGACUGUAACACAAGGAUCGUGUUUCUUUACUCUCAAGCACAUCAGUUCGGGAAAAUUAAAUGAACAUGCAAGUUUGGAGAGGGAUCUCUAGGUAAAAGAAUAGGUAGUUGAGUGUUAUCUCAUUAAUUUAGCAUGGCAAGUUGCCUUGUCCAAUUCUAUGCAUUUAUAGUUCGUUGCAACUGCAUUGGGCUUCUAAUACUUGAUUGGAUCUUUUACUUGCAUUUGGGCUGUGGACAGUCCAAUACCAAAGAUAUCUAUCUAAUGUUCAGAACACUGAGAAUAUCAGGUGAAAGGAAGCAAAAGUAAUAUGGGAAGUUGCUUAAUUUCUGAUUCAGCCAUUAAAAAAAAGUAGAAAGUUGCUUCAUUCAAUUUCUUUUUCUGUCAAAAGUAUAAAGAUUGACACCUUGCAAUUGAUACCCUUUUAUAUCAGAAUGUAAGGAAGUAAAUCUUGUAAAGUUGGAAAUGUAAUCCAUGUGCUCUACCUCUCCUUUCAACUAAAUAUUACGAGGCUUUAUUACGAGGCUUCAUUAACUUACCAGCUCUUUGUUUGAUCUCAGCUCCCUAACCUUAAACCUAUAGUAAAUGGUGAAUAAAUGUUGUUGGAAUCUGCAGUUAUUUAAUUUUAGUGACGUUUUCGCUGAAUCAGUAAAACCUCAAUAUUACUUUUACUCUUUAAUUUAAAACACAAUGUUAUCAAUUGUUUAUAGUAGCUACUGUAUUUACAUACUUUUCAUGGGAUGCAGCAAUUUCUCUCGAAAGUCAUUGUUGUACUGCAUUUUUUCCUGUUAUAGUUUGCCAAGGUUGUGCUCCUGUAUUUCAAAGUGGCCUGACAUGAUAUGGUGUGUCUUCAAGAGUAGUGGAAUCAGCUAUCCAUUAACAUUGAGUGGUCUUUUUUGGGGGGUCGAUAAGGUCGUCAAUAAUUCAUUUAGGUGAAGAAAAGUUGAUUUUUCCCUACACUUGUUUCACGCUACGACUUUUUUGUACAUUUGCCCUGACAAUCUUCAUGACUAGUUUGUUUUAUGGACAAACAUAAAGGGGACUUAUAUGGAUUGAAUAUUCUGCCACCAAAGAGACCAAGGUCAAUUCAUCUGUUAAACUUUAACUCUGCUGCUGGCUUAUCCAAUGGAUUCCAGAGUAGCAUAUAUCAUUUCCAGUAAGCAUGAUCAUUAUGAAACUUUUUACUUCUACAUUUGCGCUUCCAAAAUAAUUUGUCUGUAUACCUAUCUUGCUGAAAAAUCUAUAGCCUCAUUUGUGAAAUUAUAGCUAGGCAUGUGGAAGGUGAUAAGUCUUGGAUUCAGGACACAAGUCUUUUACUUUAGUUGAUCAAGUAAGUCGGGACAAAAGUCUUUUCAAUACUGAAGUGACGCGAUGCUUUGGCUCACCUAGAGUUAGCUCCAAUAAUUUAUUCAACUUCCUCUCUAGAGUUUUUACCGUGUGAAAUGCUCCAUAAUUGCAGAAUGUGCCCGACGCUCCUAAGCAAUGGCACGUCCCCUACCAGCUAAUAUUUACUGCUUAGUAAUUUAAGGAUUAUGUCAUGGAUGAUGAUUGAUCUCACAGUCAACAACUCUCCAACUUAGUUGCAGGUACUGCACGUCGUUAAGCAGAAACACUUUUCUUUUAUCCUAAGCUGUCUAGCUAAUUAUGCUGCGUGUUUUGAACAAAGACAGGGAUAUCUUAAAUGGUAAGACUUGACUAUUAUGCUUAGUGCUUAGAUACAUCAAUGUGAACUUUUCAGAUGUAGUAAUAUCUCAUCAGAACAACUGCUAACAAGUAUUUUGACUCAUUUUUUAGUUAUCAAUUCAUCAUCAUUUUUUCCUGUCCAAUUUGCAAAUUUCAAAUUCUAGAUGUUAGACCUCUAUAAAACCCACUAAAUUAUUAAAGACUCUGGUUUGUAUACAAGUUUUAGUAUCUUUUCUCUUUUUACCUUGUACAUAUGUGUUGUUGGACUCCUUUUUUGCCCCUUUCUGCUUUGUCUUUCUCCACCUCUAAUUUGUUAUCUUUCUAAUUUUAUACUAUAGUCUAUAAGGCAUUAUCAUUAAAGCCCCAGCUGAAAACCGACCAAUCCUUUUUAGUCUAAACUAAAGAGGAAAAAUGAGUCAAAAUUCUUAGCUUUCAAUAACAUAGAAAUGUCAAACGCACUAAGCUUCACAAUUGCUUCUUUUUCUUUUUCAAGCAAAGCUACGUGCAAUUAAAGUACUUGUGAGAUUAAUAAACACAUCUUCCUAAGCUUAAUCCUACACGUGUUUGCAAUUAGUAUUGUUAUCUCAUCCUUUUUUUUCCCAAUAAACUAAUCUUUUGUUCCUUUCUAUCUCAGCUUGUAGUGGCCUAAAAGGUAUUUGGUUCAUCUUUAAUAGUCUUUGUUAAGUUUAUCAUUGAUUUGGAAUGAAGCCACAAUGAAACAUACAUGUUUGGGUGAGUGAGAGAACACAAUGUGGGACCAAUACUAAAGAGAUAUGUUUAUGAUAUUAUUAUUAUUAU